UGGUUCUGGCAUCGAUGAAGAACGCAGCGAAAUGCGAUAAGUAAUGCGAAUUGCAGAAUUCCGUGAGUCAUCGAAUCUUUGAACGCACAUUGCGCCCGUUAGUACUCUAGCGGGUAUGCCUGUUCGAGCGUCAUUUCAAACCCUCAAGCACUGCUUGGUGUUGGGGCGCCACGGUGGACCCCUACCGUGGGCCCUGAAAUAUAGUGGCAGGCUCGCUAUAACUCCGAGCGUAGUAAUAUACCUCGCUCAGGGCGUCGUGGCGGGCUCUAGCCCCCUUAUAGACUUACCCAAGUUGACCUCGGAUCAGGUAAGAGUACCCGCUGA
This 324-nucleotide unclassified non-coding RNA is filed under the name uncultured fungus. RNAcentral's name for it is "partial contains 5.8S ribosomal RNA and internal transcribed spacer 2". The stretch from base 1 to 133 matches the Rfam family "5.8S ribosomal RNA", at positions 22 to 154 of the family's 154-position model. Lineage: Eukaryota; Fungi. The record is from RNAcentral.